UUACUGCUUAGACGUGCAAUCCAAUCGCACGCUUCGCCUAUCCUACUGCGUCCCCCCAUCGAUUAAAACGAUUAUAGGUGGUACAGGAAUAUCAACCUGUUAUCCAUCGCCUACGCCUGUCGGCUCAUCGCAUCCUGGGGCUGUAGUCGGUCCCAAGGGUUGGGCUGUUCGCCCAUUAAAGCGGUACGCGAGCUGGGUUCAGAACGUCGUGAGACAGUUCGGUCCCUAUCCGUCGUGGGCGUAG
RNAcentral lists this ribosomal RNA (244 nucleotides) under Staphylococcus sp. EG-SA-26. Its description in RNAcentral is "partial 23S ribosomal RNA". It matches the Rfam family "Bacterial large subunit ribosomal RNA", at positions 2411 to 2656 of the family's 2925-position model. Lineage: Bacteria; Bacillati; Bacillota; Bacilli; Caryophanales; Staphylococcaceae. The record is from RNAcentral.